UAGUAUGUGAUGUACCUAGUAGUAUCUACGAAUGAUAUGAUAUUAACCAAGUUAAUUAAAAUUCUAAGUGGAUAUAUGAUUAUGACAAUAUUUGCUUAUGUCUUGACCAAGUCACGUGCCAGCAGUCGCGGUAAUACGUGGAAGAUUAGUGUUAUUCAUCUUUAACAGGUUUAAAGGGUACCUAGACGGUUAAUUAAGCACUAUAAUGCACUAAUCAACUAGAGUUUAAUGUAGGAAGGAUUGAGUACGGUGAGUGUAGAGAUAUAAUUCUGUGAUACCAUUUAGGAACUGGUAAAGGUGAAGGCAACCUUCUAUGUAGAAACUGACGUUAAGGGACGAAGGCUCGUAUCAAAUAAUAGGAUUAGAUACCCUAGUAUUGUGGGCAGACAAUGAUGAGUGUCAUAUGUAAGAAAUUUAAUUUUUUUGUGUAUAAAUGAAAGUGUAAGCACUCCACCUCAAGAGUAACGUGGCAACAUGGGAACUGAAAUCAUUAGACCGUUUCUGAAACUCGUAGUGAAGUAUGUUGUUUAAUUUGUAAUUACGCAAAUAACCUUACCACAAUUUGUAUAACUAUAGUAUAUAAUAAUAUAGUUACAAGCGUUGCACGGCUGUCUUCAGUCAAUGUUGUGAAACUGUGGUUAGAUCCAUUAAAUUGACGUAAACCCUUACUUUAUUUAUAAUAAAGUAGU
RNAcentral lists this ribosomal RNA (689 nucleotides) under Asteristion leucophthalmum. RNAcentral describes it as "SSU rRNA". It matches the Rfam family "Bacterial small subunit ribosomal RNA", at positions 377 to 1129 of the family's 1533-position model. The record is from RNAcentral. Lineage: Eukaryota; Fungi; Ascomycota; Lecanoromycetes; Ostropales; Graphidaceae.